RNAcentral lists this ribosomal RNA (342 nucleotides) under Triticum aestivum (bread wheat). RNAcentral describes it as "partial small subunit ribosomal RNA". The record is from RNAcentral. Lineage: Eukaryota; Viridiplantae; Streptophyta; Magnoliopsida; Poales; Poaceae.
AUGUGUGCCACGUUUCCUCAAUGUGAAGCGAAAGAAGGUCGUUGCGGUGGUCGGCUACCAGGAGUAUCUUGUUUGGCCUUGUACCAUGUCGGAUUGUCACUAUUUUUAAAAUCUACUUAUGACUAUUUUGUAAAGGACAAAUUGACAGAUUUGGCGAAAAAUGGGCGUAUUUGGAGCCGGAUGGAAAGAUUGGCAGAUUUGGAGCAGACUGUUGUCACAAUAACAAAAGAGCUGAAGUGGAAGGGCUCAUGGAAGAAGAGAUGGAAUGACAAUAAUGCAACCUUGACGUGUGGCUGUUGUAUGUAUUUGAGGUACGUAGGAAAAGAACUCUUAAUGAGGUAA